GACGAACGCUGGCGGCGUGCCUAAUACAUGCAAGUCGAACGAAGCUGUUUUAACUGGUGCUUGCACCGACUUAAACAACUGAGUGGCGAACGGGUGAGUAACACGUGGGUAACCUGCCCCAAAGCGGGGGAUAACAUUUGGAAACAGAUGCUAAUACCGCAUAACCACAGAAACCACAUGGUUUCUGUGUCAAAGAUGGUUUCGGCUAUCACUUUGGGAUGGACCCGCGGCGUAUUAGCUAGUUGGUAAGGUAAUGGCUUACCAAGGCAAUGAUACGUAGCCGAACUGAGAGGUUGAUCGGCCACAUUGGGACUGAGACACGGCCCAAACUCCUACGGGAGGCAGCAGUAGGGAAUCUCCCACAAUGGGCGCAAGCCUGAUGGAGCAACACCGCGUGAGUGAAGAAGGGUUUCGGCUCGUAAAACUCUGUUGCUAAAGAAGAACGUAUCUAAGAGUAACUGCUUAGGUAGUGACGGUAUUUAACCAGAAAGCCACGGCUAACUACGUGCCAGCCGCCGCCGUAA
Molecule: ribosomal RNA, 524 nt
Filed under: uncultured bacterium
Lineage: Bacteria
Description: partial 16S ribosomal RNA
Rfam family: Bacterial small subunit ribosomal RNA
Source: RNAcentral